UACGAAGGGGGCUAGCGUUGUUCGGAAUUACUGGGCGUAAAGCGCGCGCAGGCGGUCCUUUAAGUCAGGGGUGAAAGCCCAGAGCUCAACUCUGGAACUGCCUUUGAAACUAGAGGACUUGGGUACGGGAGAGGUGAGUGGAAUUCCGAGUGUAGAGGUGAAAUUCGUAGAUAUUAGGAAGAACACCAGUGGCGAAGGCGGCUCACUGGUCCGGUACUGACGCUGAGGUGCGAAAGCGUGGGGAGCAAACAGG
This 253-nucleotide ribosomal RNA is filed under the name uncultured bacterium. RNAcentral describes it as "partial 16S ribosomal RNA". It matches the Rfam family "Bacterial small subunit ribosomal RNA", at positions 524 to 776 of the family's 1533-position model. The record is from RNAcentral.